AUUUUUUGGUUUUAUCUAGUAUGCUGUUCAAUUUGAAAUGUGCUAAUUAUUUCUAACAGAUUUUUUCCCAUGUCUUAAGUGUCCAUCGAUGGAUGAAUGAAUGAAGAUAUAUGUGUGUGCAUAAUAAUCAUUUCACAAUAUAUACAGGGAGACUCUUGCUUUUGCCUUCAGCCACUCUGUUCACAUGGGGAUCUGCCCGAGGUGGCUUUGCUUCUCCUUUGGAGACAUUCAGAACUGUCUGGGAAUCGGUCACAUGGAAAUCUAUCAAGUCAAAAUGAGGCUGGGACAAUUCUUCAGUUAUUUGAAAAAAGUUUAUGGCCUCCGAUGGUCCCGUCUUCUGGACAGAAAUGCCCUAUUUCUUUACCUUUGUCUGAAAUAUUAUGGCCCCAAGUUUCUCCCACUCCCUGGUCAAGGGUUACUGAGAACACCGGAAUACAGAUCUGAAAUAGAAUGUCUGCGUUAAUGCUGCUUCAGGUUUCACAGAACAACACUCCAAGUAUUCAUGUUUAAGGAAAAAUCAAAAAUCAUAAUGAAUCUAAGUGAGCAAGCUCUCAGCCUCCAUGAAGAAAAGUGAAUCUUAAAGAGUGUCGUGGCUGUGCCAGUGAGCGCCUCCAGUGGUGUUUGCAAGACUUGAGGAGAAACCGAGAGCACUGAUUUUACUGGAAGGCUUGGUGCCGAAACCUUUUAUCUUUAGAGAAUAGCAUGCAAAUGUACACGUUUUAAAGAAUGCACGUGGUUGUGGUCAUUCACUUUAGGCUCACCUCCACACACCUGAUCCUGUCUUCUGCACGUGUGGUGGGGAGUGCUGAGAAGCAGUGGUGCAGUAGAGGCAUCACUGGAAACAAAUCUGGGCCCUUACUUCUCAAUUCACUCCUCUCGCUAUUUACAUGUCCUAUACAACCUUACACGCUGUCCUUUCUAGGCCAGUUCCCUGAUUUGUAAAAUGGAAAAUAAAAUAAU
Talpa occidentalis (Iberian mole) is the source of this 960-nucleotide long non-coding RNA. RefSeq lists it as uncharacterized. The transcript has 4 exons. The record is from RefSeq and is a predicted model, not a curated record. NCBI's taxonomy places the organism in Eukaryota, Metazoa, Chordata, Mammalia, Eulipotyphla, Talpidae.